Molecule: ribosomal RNA, 492 nt
Filed under: uncultured bacterium
Lineage: Bacteria
Description: partial 16S ribosomal RNA
Rfam family: Bacterial small subunit ribosomal RNA
Source: RNAcentral
AGUGAACGCUGGCGGUAGGCCUAACACAUGCAAGUCGAACGGCAGCACAGUAAGAGCUUGCUCUUACGGGUGGCGAGUGGCGGACGGGUGAGGAAUACAUCGGAAUCUACUUUUUCGUGGGGGGUAACGUAGGGAAACUUACGCUAAUACCGCAUACGACCUACGGGUGAAAGCAGGGGAUCUUCGGACCUUUCGCGAUUGAAUGAGCCGAUGUGGGAUUAGCUAGUUGGCGGGGUAAAGGCCCACCAAGGCGACGAUCCGUAGCUGGUCUGAGAGGAUGAUCGGCCACACUGGAACUGAGACACGGUCCAGACUCCUAAGGGAGGCAGCAGUAGGGAAUAUUGGACAAAGGGCGAAAGCCUGAUCCAGCCAUACCGCGUGGGUGAAGAAGGCCUUCGGGUUGUAAAGCCCUUUUGUUGGGAAAGAAAAGCAGCAGGUUAAUACCCCGCUGUUCUGACGGUACCCAAAGAAUAAGCACCGGCUAACUUCGUG